Long non-coding RNA from Astyanax mexicanus (Mexican tetra), 530 nucleotides. RefSeq lists it as uncharacterized. The transcript is spliced from 5 exons. The record is from RefSeq and is a predicted model, not a curated record. NCBI's taxonomy places the organism in Eukaryota, Metazoa, Chordata, Actinopteri, Characiformes, Acestrorhamphidae.
UUCACAGUUCUCCUCGCUCGUUGUGUGAAUUACCUGAGGCUGCUGUUGUGGUCGCUAUAAGCGCCGGAGGUUCGGUCGCUAACAGCUCCACAGGUUCGGUCACUAACAGCUCCACAGGUUCGAUCGCUAACAGCGCCGGAGGGUCGGUCUCUAACAGCGCCGGAGGGUCGGUCUCUAACAGCGCCGGAGGGUCGGUCUCUAACAGCGCCGGAGGUUCGGUCUCUAACAGCGCCGGAGGGUCGGUCUCUAACAGCGCCGGAGGGUCGGUCUCUAACAGCGCCGGAGGGUCGGUCUCUAACAGCGCCGGAGGGUCGGUCUCUAACAGCGCCGGAGGGUCGGUCUCUAACAGCGCCGGAGGGUCGGUCUCUAACAGCGCCGGAGGGUCGGUCUCUAACAGCGCCGGAGGGUCGGUCUCUAACAGCGCCGGAGGGUCGGUCUCUAACAGCGCCGGAGGGUCAGUUGUUUUGGAUGUUAGCAUAGCCAACUCUCCUGCUGUCCUUUUUUCUCUGCCUUCCUCCGGCUAUUGUUAG